GGGGGUGAACGGUUUCGACUUCGUUCGUCGAUCAAGGGGAAGCGUGCCGAGGAAGGCGACGAUGAUCUCGUUAACCACCCGUCGCAAACCUAUAAGCGCCGACUCCAGUCAGCGCGAGUUCGCCCUCGCCGCCUGAGGCGAGUGCGACUCUGUCGGCCCGCGGGCGCUCCCGCCGCGGAUCCCGGCAUCAGCUAGGGAGCUCACCCGUCCGCCCGGUCGCGGGGUGGACGGGGACAGCAAACAGCGACUGGGAUCGUCACACCGGCUUGUUCGCGUGACCGGUGGAUCCGAGUAGAGGCAUUGCGGACUGCGCACGGAGAAGCCCUUGUGGAGCGACGGAGGACCCGGGUUCGAUUCCCGGCACCUCCACCC
Molecule: transfer-messenger RNA, 372 nt
Filed under: Pseudonocardia broussonetiae
Lineage: Bacteria; Bacillati; Actinomycetota; Actinomycetes; Pseudonocardiales; Pseudonocardiaceae
Description: Standard tmRNA
Rfam family: transfer-messenger RNA
About the family: Bacterial tmRNA, also known as 10Sa RNA or SsrA, is named for its dual tRNA and mRNA-like properties. Its role is to liberate the mRNA from a stalled ribosome. To accomplish this part of the tmRNA is used as a reading frame that ends in a translation stop signal.
Source: Rfam by way of RNAcentral